UGUUACCACUCAUGUUUUUAGCAUAAUGAUAAAAUAUUGAAAUCGAGGUAAUAUCGAUUAUGUUACCAAUUCUUCACUGUCUUAUGUAUCAAAAGUACUGAAUUUUCAGUCCUUACUUUCCAUUUAUUAUAGCAAUUAUAGCUAGUAAAUUGUACAUAAUCGUCCGAAAAUUCUCUCGCGUGCCUAUAUACUUAUUAUGAGGGACUGCGAUGUAGGUUCUGCCUUU
This is a non-coding RNA of Cinara cedri, 226 nucleotides long. Lineage: Eukaryota; Metazoa; Arthropoda; Insecta; Hemiptera; Aphididae. The record is from the annotation of a GenBank genome assembly.